Molecule: ribosomal RNA, 212 nt
Filed under: uncultured bacterium
Lineage: Bacteria
Description: partial 16S ribosomal RNA
Rfam family: Bacterial small subunit ribosomal RNA
Source: RNAcentral
UACAGAGGGCGCGAGCGUUGUCCGGAAUCACUGGGCGUAAAGGGCGCGUAGGUGGCUGGCAAAGCGUGCGGUGAAAGCCCGGGCUCGAACCCCGGGUCGGCCGUGCGAACUGGUCAGCUCGAGCAUGGUAGAGGCGGGUGGAAUUCCGGGUGUAGCGGUGGAAUGCGUAGAGAUCCGGAAGAACACCGGUGGCGAAGGCGGCCCGACUGGGC